This 266-nucleotide ribosomal RNA is filed under the name uncultured bacterium. Its description in RNAcentral is "partial 16S ribosomal RNA". It matches the Rfam family "Bacterial small subunit ribosomal RNA", at positions 15 to 275 of the family's 1533-position model. The record is from RNAcentral.
GAUCCUGGCUCAGGAUGAACGCUAGCGACAGGCUUAACACAUGCAAGUCGAGGGGCAGCGGGGAGUAGCAAUACUUUCGCCGGCGACCGGCGCACGGGUGAGUAACACGUGUGCAACCAACCCCGUACCGGGAGAUAACCCGCGGAAACGUGGACUAACAUCCCAUGAUACUCGAGGGCCGCAUGGCUCUCGAUUUAAAAUUCCGGUGGUACGGGACGGGCACGCGCGACAUUAGGGUAGUUGGCGGGGUAACGGCCACCAAGCCG